RNAcentral lists this ribosomal RNA (301 nucleotides) under uncultured bacterium. RNAcentral's name for it is "partial 16S ribosomal RNA". It matches the Rfam family "Bacterial small subunit ribosomal RNA", at positions 509 to 809 of the family's 1533-position model. The record is from RNAcentral.
CAGUCGCCGCGGGAAUACGAAGGGGGCUAGCGUUGUUCGGAAUUACUGGGCGUAAAGGGCGCGUAGGCGGCCAUUCAAGUUAGAUGUGAAAGCCCUGGGCUCAACCUAGGAAUUGCAUUUGAUACUGUUUGGCUUGAGUUCGGGAGAGGUGAGUGGAAUUCCCAGUGUAGAGGUGAAAUUCGUAGAUAUUGGGAAGAACACCAGUGGCGAAGGCGGCUCACUGGUCUGUAACUGACGCUGAGGAGCGAAAGCGUGGGGAGCGAACAGGAUUAGAUACCCCCGUAGUCCCUGUCUCUUAUAA